This 488-nucleotide ribosomal RNA is filed under the name uncultured bacterium. RNAcentral's name for it is "partial 16S ribosomal RNA". It matches the Rfam family "Bacterial small subunit ribosomal RNA", at positions 30 to 507 of the family's 1533-position model. The record is from RNAcentral.
AUUGAACGCUGGCGGCAGGCCUAACACAUGCAAGUCGAACGGUAGCACAGAGAGCUUGCUCUCGGGUGACGAGUGGCGGACGGGUGAGUAAUGUCUGGGAAACUGCCCGAUGGGGGGGGAUAACUACUGGAAACGGUAGCUAAUACCGCAUAAUGUCGCAAGACCAAAGAGGGGGACCUUCGGGCCUCUUGCCAUCGGAUGUGCCCAGAUGGGAUUAGCUUGUUGGUGAGGUAAUGGCUCACCAAGGCGACGAUCCCUAGCUGGUCUGAGAGGAUGACCAGCCACACUGGAACUGAGACACGGUCCAGACUCCUACGGGAGGCAGCAGUGGGGAAUAUUGCACAAUGGGCGCAAGCCUGAUGCAGCCAUGCCGCGUGUGUGAAGAAGGCCUUCGGGUUGUAAAGCACUUUCAGCGGGGAGGAAGGCGAUACGGUUAAUAACCGUGUUGAUUGACGUUACCCGCAGAAGAAGCACCGGCUAACUCCGUG